UCCUACGGGAGGCAGCAGUGGGGAAUAUUGCACAAUGGGGGAAACCCUGAUGCAGCCAUGCCGCGUGUGUGAAGAAGGCCUUCGGGUUGUAAGGCACUUUCAGUUGUGAGGAAAAGUUAGUAGUUAAUACCUGCUAGCCGUGACGUUAACAACAGAAGAAGCACCGGCUAACUCCGUGCCAGCAGCCGCGGUAAUACGGAGGGUGCGAGCGUUAAUCGGAAUUACUGGGCGUAAAGCGCACGCAGGCGGUUUGUUAAGCUAGAUGUGAAAGCCCCGGGCUCAACCUGGGAUGGUCAUUUAGAACUGGCACAAUAGAGUCUUGGAAAGGGGAGUGUAAUUCCCUGUGUUUAGGUGAAAACUAUAAAGAAAAAAGAAAAGAGGUCUGUCGCCCCCCCUCUUCCUCUGAAAA
RNAcentral lists this ribosomal RNA (409 nucleotides) under uncultured bacterium. RNAcentral describes it as "bacterial SSU rRNA". It matches the Rfam family "Bacterial small subunit ribosomal RNA", at positions 337 to 739 of the family's 1533-position model. The record is from RNAcentral.